Molecule: long non-coding RNA, 953 nt
Organism: Hemicordylus capensis (graceful crag lizard)
Lineage: Eukaryota; Metazoa; Chordata; Lepidosauria; Squamata; Cordylidae
Exons: 3
Source: RefSeq, a predicted model, not a curated record
GAGGGGUCACUUUAAGCACAGAAUCGGUGGGCUAAAGGGAGUAACUUAGCCCUUCUCCACCUAGCCUUUAAGAUGGAAGGCCACCAAGCUGUGGAAAAAACAGCUUAUGAGAGGGGCAUUCACAGAGUCGAAUCAAAGAGUGUGACGAGCUAAGUAUCUGUUCUUCCCACAAACUUUUCUUUAUAAAUGUCCCUUGCACCCUUGCAGUCUCAUUGCCUCUUUAAAAAACUGGGCUUGGGAAUAUUUAUUUGACAAGAAAACAUCCAACUUCUAUCUCAGGGCUGAGAAGGAAGUGGGGGGUGAGAAAAACAUUUGCAGGGUGUAGGGAGAGGAAGAUAGAAAUGUGUGCUAACAGCAGAGAGGGAGUGAAGAGCAAGGUCAUUUUAUUUAUUUCAUUUCAUUAUUUAUUAUUUAUUUCACUUUUCUUCCAUCAUCAAGGUGGUGUAAAUGAUGUUUUCAAGCAGUCACUUCAUCCAGACACUGACUAGAUUUAGACCCGCUUCUGACUCAGGAAACCAGUGGAGCAAAAAGGCUCCUUUCAAAUGGGAGGAUCGUUUAAAGAAGAACAAAAUUGCUUAUACUGGCUGUACAGCAUUCUAAGAAAGAGAUAAAGAAGCCCUUUUUGUGUCCAAGAAUAUGUCCAUGAGGGUUGAACAUACAGAAGAAUUUUACUGCAGGAUGGGAGGGGAUCAAGAAAGGCUACUUCGUGAAGAUAACCGGAGAAGAAGUAAAAGCAACCCAGAUCUCCUGGAGAAAGAGAGAUUUAAAAUGGUGUGACCAUGCCCCCAUUCAGCCAGCCAAUCAGAUCUACAGUAUGUGCAGUUUGAAAUUGUACAUCCCAGACACAAGAGGCUCCUUCAGACAUUACUCUGAAGGCUCACUGUAUCUGUUAGUGGCAGGCCGUAGGGGGAAGAAGUCUCAUGGCCCACACCCACCACAUCGCUCAUUCCCGU